Molecule: ribosomal RNA, 1055 nt
Filed under: Synergistetes bacterium oral taxon 360
Lineage: Bacteria; Thermotogati; Synergistota
Description: bacterial SSU rRNA
Rfam family: Bacterial small subunit ribosomal RNA
Source: RNAcentral
GAUGAACGCUGGCGGCGUGCGUAACACAUGCAAGUUGAACGACGGUGCCAUGAAGUGGUAACACGGAGUGGUAUACGGAGUAGCGGACGGGUGAGUAAAGCAUGAGAAUCUGUCCUGUCGAGGGGGAUAACGUUCGGAAACGGACCCUAAUACCCCAUAGUCCGAGAGGUUAAAGGCAGCGAUGCGCGGCAGGAGGAGCUCGUGUCCUAUCAGCUGGUUGGUGAGGUAACGGCUCACCAAGGCUUCGACGGGUAGCCGGCCUGAGAGGGUGACCGGCCACACUGGAACUGAGAAACGGUCCAGACUCCUACGGGAGGCAGCAGUGGGGAAUAUUGGGCAAUGGGAGGAAUCCUGACCCAGCGACGCCGCGUGAACGAAGACGGCCUUCGGGUUGUAAAGUUCUUUUAUGUGGGAAGAAGGAAGUGACGGUACCACAUGAAUAAGCCCCGGCUAACUACGUGCCAGCAGCCGCGGUAAUACGUAGGGGGCGAGCGUUGUCCGGAAUUACUGGGCGUAAAGGGCACGCAGGCUGUGCUUCAAGUCAGCUGUAAAAGGAUGCGGCUUAACCGUGUUAUGCGGCUGAGACUGAGGUGCUGGAGUACCGGAGAGGCAAGUGGAAUUCCCAGUGUAGCGGUGAAAUGCGUAGAUAUUGGGAAGAACAUCGGUGGCGAAGGCGACUUGCUGGACGGUAACUGACGCUGAGGUGCGAAAGCCAGGGUAGCGAACGGGAUUAGAUACCCCGGUAGUCCUGGCCGCAAACGAUGAAUGCUAGGUGUGCGAGCAGAGAUGUUGGUGUGCCGCAGUUAACGCGAUAAGCAUUCCGCCUGGGGAGUACGGUCGCAAGAUUGAAACUCAAAGGAAUUGACGGGGGCCCGCACAAGCGGUGGAGCACGUGGUUUAAUUCGAUGCAAACCGAAGAACCUUACCUGGGUUUGACAUGUAUGUGGUAGGAGAUGGAAACAUUGACGACGCUGCUUUCGGGCAGUGAGCAUACACAGGUGCUGCAUGGCUGUCGUCAGCUCGUGUCGUGAGAUGUUGGGUUAAGUCCCGCAACG